UGUUGGGAACAACCAAGUACAUACAACUCCAUCAGGACCAUUCUCAGUGGGAAACAACAAUAAGUACUGUAUAUCCUUCAUUUGUGCAACAACUAUGGAAUCUACUACUGUAAGUCAUAUACAGUUCUUCUAGAAAAGCAGAGUU
This is a long non-coding RNA of Sander lucioperca (pikeperch), 145 nucleotides long. RefSeq lists it as uncharacterized. Lineage: Eukaryota; Metazoa; Chordata; Actinopteri; Perciformes; Percidae. The record is from RefSeq and is a predicted model, not a curated record. The transcript has 3 exons.